UACGUAGGGUCCGAGCGUUGUCCGGAAUUAUUGGGCGUAAAGAGCUCGUAGGCGGUUUGUCGCGUCUGCUGUGAAAUCCCGAGGCUCAACCUCGGGCCUGCAGUGGGUACGGGCAGACUGGAGUGCGGUAGGGGAGAAUGGAAUUCCUGGUGUAGCGGUGGAAUGCGCAGAUAUCAGGAGGAACACCGAUGGCGAAGGCAGUUCUCUGGGCCGUAACUGACGCUGAGGCGCGAAAGCUAGGGGAGCAAACAGG
Molecule: ribosomal RNA, 253 nt
Filed under: uncultured bacterium
Lineage: Bacteria
Description: partial 16S ribosomal RNA
Rfam family: Bacterial small subunit ribosomal RNA
Source: RNAcentral